GGUGGUGUGGUGUAAUGGUAGCACGUGACGUUGUGGUUACAGCACAUGAAUCCGUUUCAAUCUGGGUUCGAUUCCCAGCACCGCCA
RNAcentral lists this transfer RNA (86 nucleotides) under Blumeria graminis f. sp. tritici. It matches the Rfam family "tRNA". Rfam says of the family: Transfer RNA (tRNA) molecules are approximately 80 nucleotides in length. The record is from Rfam by way of RNAcentral. RNAcentral also lists the same sequence under 1 other name. Lineage: Eukaryota; Fungi; Ascomycota; Leotiomycetes; Helotiales; Erysiphaceae.